UACGAAGGGGGCUAGCGUUGUUCGGAAUUACUGGGCGUAAAGCGCGCGCAGGCGGUUCGAUAAGUCAGAGGUGAAAUCCCCGGGCUCAACCUGGGAAUGGCCUUUGAGACUGUCGGGCUUGAGGACGAGAGAGGUGAGUGGAAUUCCCAGUGUAGAGGUGAAAUUCGUAGAUAUUGGGAAGAACACCGGUGGCGAAGGCGGCUCACUGGCUCGUUUCUGACGCUGAGGCGCGAAAGCGUGGGGAGCAAACAGG
RNAcentral lists this ribosomal RNA (253 nucleotides) under uncultured bacterium. Its description in RNAcentral is "partial 16S ribosomal RNA". It matches the Rfam family "Bacterial small subunit ribosomal RNA", at positions 524 to 776 of the family's 1533-position model. The record is from RNAcentral.